UACGAAGGGGGCUAGCGUUGCUCGGAAUUACUGGGCGUAAAGCGCACGUAGGCGGCUCUUUAAGUCGGGGGUGAAAUCCUGGAGCUCAACUCCAGAACUGCCUUCGAUACUGAAGAGCUUGAGUCCGGGAGAGGUGAGUGGAACUGCGAGUGUAGAGGUGAAAUUCGUAGAUAUUCGCAAGAACACCAGUGGCGAAGGCGGCUCACUGGUCCGGUACUGACGCUGAGGUGCGAAAGCGUGGGGAGCAAACAGG
This 253-nucleotide ribosomal RNA is filed under the name uncultured bacterium. RNAcentral's name for it is "partial 16S ribosomal RNA". It matches the Rfam family "Bacterial small subunit ribosomal RNA", at positions 524 to 776 of the family's 1533-position model. The record is from RNAcentral.